This 254-nucleotide ribosomal RNA is filed under the name uncultured bacterium. Its description in RNAcentral is "partial 16S ribosomal RNA". It matches the Rfam family "Bacterial small subunit ribosomal RNA", at positions 524 to 776 of the family's 1533-position model. The record is from RNAcentral.
UACAGAGGUCCCCAAGCGUUGUUCGGAUUCAUUGGGCGUAAAGGGUGCGUAGGCGGCGCGGUAAGUCGGGUGUGAAAUCUCGGGGCUUAACUCCGAAACUGCAUUCGAUACUGCCGUGCUUGAGGACUGGAGAGGAGACUGGAAUUUACGGUGUAGCGGUGAAAUGCGUAGAUAUCGUAAGGAAGACCAGUGGCGAAGGCGGGUCUCUGGACAGUUCCUGACGCUGAGGCACGAAGGUCAGGGGAGCAAACGGG